AAAGAGUGAGAAACGAGGAAAUCAGAAACAGAACAUCGGCACAAGAAACAGUAAUUCAACGAAUAGAGAAAAGAGGUUUGAGAUGGUUUGGUCAUCUAAUGAGGAUGGAGGACACAAGAUGGCCAAAACGUGUAUUCAAAUGGUCACCCACUGGAAGAAA
Molecule: long non-coding RNA, 160 nt
Organism: Sitophilus oryzae (rice weevil)
Lineage: Eukaryota; Metazoa; Arthropoda; Insecta; Coleoptera; Curculionidae
Exons: 2
Source: RefSeq, a predicted model, not a curated record